CUCCACAAUCCCUCCCCCUAUUUCUAAGGUACCCCCCCUCCCUUUCCGCGAGGAAGACGGGAGAAAAGACAGCAUCUGGCCCAAAGAGAAACGAAGACGCGCUUUAAACUCGAGCCAUCUCCCAACUCCGCAGCAGUCCGGUCCCCACGCGCUCUCCCCGGGGGCCUCGGGCUACAUUGAUCAGAAACUAUACCGGACUCGCGAAGCCCAAAACUUAUUGUGAGGCAGCCCAUCUUCUCCUCCCCUCGAUCAUCUUUUCCAUCCAGAUGCGAGUCGUGGGAGCCGAGAGCUCGGACGAGGGUGAGAUCGCCGCCUUCCCUCCGAUCCGAACGCGUGCGCCCCGCCGGCCCCCCGCUGGGUGCACACUCGCACGCACACCCUCGCACCCAUACCCGCACACGCGGGAGCACACGCACAGGUAGUCAGUCACACACACCAAGGGCAGCAGCGACGGCGGACGAAACAUGCUCCGAUGGCACUGCAACCCCCCCACCCCCGCCAUCCAACCUUGCAAUUCAUUUGCAGUCAGACCCCAAACCCUACACCUCCCCGGAGCCCCCACUCCAUAAAAAAGUGCCUUCCCCCCAAAACACACACGCACACAUAACACAAAGUAGGAGAAUGGACCGACAGAGAUAUUUUUGGCAAAUGCUCACAUCAGAGGGCGUCCUGUUCCGCAGCUCUAAAUAAAUCCGUUUGUCCAUCUCCAUCUCUCGCGCUCUCUCUUUCUGCAGAAGAUCCUGCGCCAGCGGAAUUCAAUCAAUAAACCCCGAACCCACGGCCGCGCGUUUUAGGACUUUGAAGGCUCAACCAGCUCCGCUCGGUUCUCGAGCCCCCAGCACCCGCGGCGCACACUAACCUGAUCGCCGUAGAGGCGGAACCUGCAGCUCCUGCGUAGAGCGGCGGCACCAGGAGCCAAUCGAGUGGCGAGGCUUCGGACGCCAGCCAAUGAUGGUGGUGGCGGCGGGGGGCAGGGUCCAAUGGGCGGCCUGCGCAGCGGGCCAGGGAGGCUCAGCCAUUUGGCUGUGGUGCCGGAGACGGACCCCUUUAGAUACCCGGGCCGCCGAAGAGGAGCGUGGCUGCACCUUGGUGGUUGCGCGCGGGGGGCGGGAGGGAAGGCAGGGCAGGUGCGUGGACCUGAAGGUUCGUGGCCGGGGGCGGGGCCGCAGGUGCGUGGACACGGGUGGGGCGGGGUCCCUGCGGGGGCAUCCUUUGGGUGCUGGGCGGGCGGACGAGGCCUGGAGCGCGCGGGCGCAAGGCAGGCCCCAAGGAGGGCGCGCAUUCUUGGGGCGCACGAAGGGCAAAUCCCACACAUACACACACACACACCCCGGGGUGCCCACCUUGGCACAACCCCUCAGACCCGGUCUACUUCCAUCCCCACAAUUAAAUAAUCAAGUCUCAGUGCAUGUCGCUCCCACCUCCAGAGGAACGAGGGCGGGAUCUCGACCUCAGAGGCUUGGCGUUCUCAUGUCCUGCCUUAAAAGAAGCCAUCCCCGGAGAGCCACCGGGGGAUCUUGUGUAGGGCAAUUAAUGAAUGGAAAGGCCGCAGAUGCAGGACUGUAUAAAAUAUUAAAAAGUGGAAAAAGGAAGGUGCUGGGAACUGCCGAUUCUCAGAACCGAACAUAAUUGUCGGGCUUUAUAGCUUUUUUUUUUUUGAGAGAGAGAGCGUUGCACGUUUCAUUCUAAUCGUCCACCAGAGUCGUUUGGUAGGAUCCGAGUUGCCAAGGAGUCGCUAACUGGGGCACUUCCUCUAGAUCUUCCAGUUGCUUUGGGUUUUGUUUUUGUUCGACCACGUUACGUUUUUUAAGAGACCUUUACAGUCCUGGUUCCCACUGGUUACCAGCUUCUAAUACUGGGCAGCCCUAGGACCUCUUGUACUACGUGGACGUCUGGCUGUGGACAAAUUAUGGGAUACAUGUUUAAUUUCAUCCACACAACUUUGUCAUAGUGUCUUUUUCUAUGUGUCUUCAUCUACACUCUUCCACAAACACUCCCAAAGUAAUUCUAUCUUUUUUUGAUACAUUAGAAUUGAGCAUUUUAUUUAGUUAGUUCUUUUAGAUCAAACAGUAAAUGGAUUCAAAAGCUGAUAAAUGUUUAUUCUAAGUAGCUGGAAUAAAAUAAACCCAUAUCAUCUGGGUAAAUAUGUAA
Mastomys coucha (southern multimammate mouse) is the source of this 2151-nucleotide long non-coding RNA. RefSeq lists it as uncharacterized. Lineage: Eukaryota; Metazoa; Chordata; Mammalia; Rodentia; Muridae. The transcript is spliced from 3 exons. The record is from RefSeq and is a predicted model, not a curated record.